UGGGGAAUCUUGCACAAUGGGGGCAACCCUGAUGCAGCGACGCCGCGUGAGCGAUGAAGCCCUUCGGGGUGUAAAGCUCUUUCGGCAGGGAAGAUAAUGACGGUACCUGCAGAAUCAGCUGCGGCUAACUACGUGCCAGCAGCCGCGGUAAUACGUAGGCAGCGAGCGUUGUUCGGAGUUACUGGGCGUAAAGGGUGUGUAGGCGGUGCUCUAAGUGUGGUGUGAAAUCUCCCGGCUCAACUGGGAGGGUGCGCUACGAACUGGAGUGCUCGAGUGCGGGAUGGGAGAGUGGAAUUCCUGGUGUAGCGGUGAAAUGCGUAGAUAUCAGGAGGAACACCGGUGGUGUAGACGGCUCUCUGGACCGCAACUGACGCUGAGACACGAAAGCGUGGGUAGCAAACAGGAUUAGAUACCCCAGUAGUCCCUGAGCGGGCUGGCAAGGCGCAU
RNAcentral lists this ribosomal RNA (447 nucleotides) under uncultured bacterium. Its description in RNAcentral is "bacterial SSU rRNA". It matches the Rfam family "Bacterial small subunit ribosomal RNA", at positions 355 to 825 of the family's 1533-position model. The record is from RNAcentral.